RNAcentral lists this ribosomal RNA (374 nucleotides) under uncultured organism. RNAcentral describes it as "partial 16S ribosomal RNA". It matches the Rfam family "Bacterial small subunit ribosomal RNA", at positions 527 to 896 of the family's 1533-position model. The record is from RNAcentral.
GUAGGUAGCAAGCGUUGUCCGGAAUUAUUGGGCGUAAAGCGCGCGCAGGCGGUCCUUUAAGUCUGAUGUGAAAGCCCACGGCUCAACCGUGGAGGGUCAUUGGAAACUGGGGGACUUGAGUACAGAAGAGGAAAGCGGAAUUCCAAGUGUAGCGGUGAAAUGCGUAGAGAUUUGGAGGAACACCAGUGGCGAAGGCGGCUUUCUGGUCUGUAACUGACGCUGAGGCGCGAAAGCGUGGGGAGCAAACAGGGAUUAGAUACCCUGGUAGUCCACGCCGUAAACGAUGAGUGCUAAGUGUUAGGGGGUUUCCCGCCCCCUUAGUGCUGCAGCUAACGCAUUAAGCACUCCGCCUGGGGAGUACGGCCGCAAGGCUG